RNAcentral lists this ribosomal RNA (468 nucleotides) under uncultured bacterium. RNAcentral describes it as "partial 16S ribosomal RNA". It matches the Rfam family "Bacterial small subunit ribosomal RNA", at positions 28 to 507 of the family's 1533-position model. The record is from RNAcentral.
GACGAACGCUGGCGGCAUGCUUAACACAUGCAAGUCGAACGGGACGGCCCUGCUUUUGUGGGCUGCUCGAGUGGCGACCGGGUGAGUAACACGUAGGUAACCUAUACUUGACUUUAGGGUAACUUCAGGCAGCUGAGUCUAAUACCGGAUAGGAGCUCCUGCUGCAUGGUGGGGGUUGGAUAGUUUCGGCGGUUGGGGAUGGACUCGCGGCUUAUCAGCUUGUUGGUGGGGUAGUGGCUUACCAAGGCUUGGACGCGUAGCAGGCCUGAGAGGGUGACCGGCCACACUGCGACUGAGAUACGGCCCAGACUCCUAUCGGACGCAGCAGUGGGGAAGAGUGCACAAUGGGCGGAAGCCUGAUGUAGCAACGCCGCGUGCGGGAUGAGGGCAUUCGGGUAGUAAUCCGCAUCCGCCUGAGCCGAAGCGUUAGUGACGGUAACGGGUAAAUAAGCACCGGCUAACUACGUG